CACCAGCCCCUCGAGUGGUGGGGAUGAUUAUUUGGCCUAAAGCGUCCGUAGCCGGCCGGGUAAGUUUCCCGUUAAAUCCAGCGUCUCAAGCGUUGGACUGCGGGAAAUACUGCCUGGCUAGAGAGUGGGAGAGGUCAGCGGUAUUCUGGGGGUAGGGGCGAAAUCCUUUGAUCCCCGGAGGACCACCAGUGGCGAAGGCUGCUGACUAGAACACGUCUGACGGUCAGGGACGAAAGCUGGGGUAGCGAACCGGAUUAGAUACCCGGGUAGUCCCAGCCGUAAACGAUGCAUGCUAGGUGUUGGGUUGGCCACGAGCCACCCCAGUGCCGCAGGGAAGCCGUUAAGCAUGCCGCCUGGGAAGUACGAUCGCAAGAUUGAAACUUAAAGGAAUUGGCGGGGAGCACCACCAGGCGGGAAGCCUGCGGUUU
RNAcentral lists this ribosomal RNA (428 nucleotides) under uncultured archaeon. RNAcentral's name for it is "bacterial SSU rRNA". It matches the Rfam family "Archaeal small subunit ribosomal RNA", at positions 474 to 903 of the family's 1478-position model. The record is from RNAcentral.